AGAAUCAACGCUGGCGGCGUGCCUAACACAUGCAAGUCGAACGAGAAAGUGGAGCAAUCCAUGAGUAAAGUGGCGCACGGGUGAGUAACACGUGACUAACCUACCCUUGAGUGGGGGAUAACCUAGGGAAACCUGGGCUAGUACCGCAUAAUACCUUCGGGUCAAAGGAGCAAUUCGCUUAAGGAGGGGGUCGCGGCCGAUUAGUUAGUUGGCGGGGUAAUGGCCCACCAAGACUGUGAUCGGUAU
RNAcentral lists this ribosomal RNA (246 nucleotides) under uncultured bacterium. RNAcentral's name for it is "partial small subunit ribosomal RNA". It matches the Rfam family "Bacterial small subunit ribosomal RNA", at positions 26 to 286 of the family's 1533-position model. The record is from RNAcentral.